This 434-nucleotide ribosomal RNA is filed under the name uncultured eukaryote. Its description in RNAcentral is "bacterial SSU rRNA". It matches the Rfam family "Eukaryotic small subunit ribosomal RNA", at positions 592 to 1018 of the family's 1831-position model. The record is from RNAcentral.
CAAUAGCGUAUAUUAAAGUUGUUGCGGUUAAAAAGCUCGUAGUUGGAGUUCUGCCAGGUGACGCUCGUCCGCCCAAGUGGUGUGUACAGGGCGUGCAUCUGGCCCUUUCAAGGGGAACGUGUCUGCUCUUUAUUGAGUGGUGCGAGAUCCUUGACUUUUACUUUGAGGAAAUCAGAGUGUUCCAAGCAGGCUCUCGUCGUGUAUAGCUCAGCAUGGAAUAAUAGCAUUGGACUUCGUUUCUAAGCUGUUGGUUGCAAGAAGCGAGGUAAUGAUGAAGAGGGAUAGGUUGGGGGCGAUUCGUAUUUAACUGUCAGAGGUGAAAUUCAUUGAUUAAUUAAAGAACUAACUUAUGCGAAGACAUUUGCCAAGGAUUGUUUUCUAUUAAUUACAAGAAACGAAAGGUUAAGGGUAGUACAAAGACGAUCAGAUACCAU